This 74-nucleotide transfer RNA is filed under the name Nostoc sp. 'Peltigera membranacea cyanobiont' 210A. Its description in RNAcentral is "tRNA-Cys". It matches the Rfam family "tRNA". Rfam says of the family: Transfer RNA (tRNA) molecules are approximately 80 nucleotides in length. Their secondary structure includes four short double-helical elements and three loops (D, anti-codon, and T loops). Lineage: Bacteria; Bacillati; Cyanobacteriota; Cyanophyceae; Nostocales; Nostocaceae. The record is from RNAcentral.
GGCGGCAUAGCCAAGUGGUAAGGCAGAGGUCUGCAAAACCUCCACCCCCGGUUCAAAUCCGGGUGCCGCCUUCA